RNAcentral lists this ribosomal RNA (253 nucleotides) under uncultured bacterium. Its description in RNAcentral is "partial 16S ribosomal RNA". It matches the Rfam family "Bacterial small subunit ribosomal RNA", at positions 524 to 776 of the family's 1533-position model. The record is from RNAcentral.
UACAGAGGGGGCAAGCGUUGUUCGGAAUUACUGGGCGUAAAGGGCGCGUAGGCGGCCUUCUAAGUCGAACGUGAAAUCCCCGGGCUCAACCCGGGAACUGCGUCCGAUACUGGAAGGCUUGAAUCCGGGAGAGGGAUGCGGAAUUCCAGGUGUAGCGGUGAAAUGCGUAGAUAUCUGGAGGAACACCGGUGGCGAAGGCGGCAUCCUGGACCGGUAUUGACGCUGAGGCGCGAAAGCAUGGGGAGCGAACAGG